This 157-nucleotide ribosomal RNA is filed under the name Cortinarius violaceus. Its description in RNAcentral is "5.8S ribosomal RNA". It matches the Rfam family "5.8S ribosomal RNA". Rfam says of the family: 5.8S ribosomal RNA (5.8S rRNA) is a component of the large subunit of the eukaryotic ribosome. It is transcribed by RNA polymerase I as part of the 45S precursor that also contains 18S and 28S rRNA. The record is from RNAcentral. Lineage: Eukaryota; Fungi; Basidiomycota; Agaricomycetes; Agaricales; Cortinariaceae.
CAACUUUCAGCAACGGAUCUCUUGGCUCUCGCAUCGAUGAAGAACGCAGCAAAUGCGAUAAGUAAUGUGAAUUGCAGAAUUCAGUGAAUCAUCGAAUCUUUGAACGCACCUUGCRCUCCUUGGUAUUCCGAGGAGUAUGCCUGUUUGAGUGUCAUUA